UCUCUAAGUGGACGUAACUUUGCCUCAAGGGCAAGGUGAACCACUAUACAUGUUUGUGUCACUAUCUCUCUCUCCAUCAUGAUCCAUACUUAGUUCCCCGUAUUCUCUCACAGAAAAAACAGCAUUGCUAUCCUGGCAGUUGCACAGAAUAUGCAGGAGCUUUACAUCUUGCUCCUUAUUUUUCUGAGUGCAUUACAUCAGAGGAUCUGGAUGACAUGAAUAUUGAAAUCAUGAGGAAUACUCUUUAUAUGGCAUACCUUGAAGACUUACAGGUUUUGUCAGACUAACUAGGUGGUGCCACAGCAUAGAUUAUGUCUGACUUGCUUUUGAGGCUGACAGAAGGGCUGUCAAUAUUACCAUAAAUAGCCCUCGAACAGAGCUAAUUACCCGAGAUGAUCAGAAGAAAUGGUAUACUAACUUUGGUUUAUUUUAGGUCACACUGUGAUUAGUU
RNAcentral lists this long non-coding RNA (451 nucleotides) under Rosa chinensis. RNAcentral's name for it is "sRNA RchiOBHm_Chr4g0397021". Lineage: Eukaryota; Viridiplantae; Streptophyta; Magnoliopsida; Rosales; Rosaceae. The record is from RNAcentral.